AUGAAUACGGCAAAUAUGGCUCUCCUACCCAAGAAAGAUGAAGCUCGAGAUGCAUGUGAUUUCCGCCCUAUUAGUUUGAUGCACAGUGUUCCCAAGCUCCUGAGUAAGAUGUUGGCAGCUAGGCUGGCACCGGUGAUUCACAAACUUGUCUCCCACAACCAAAGUGCUUUCAUCAGAGGGCGAUUGGUUCAGGAUAAUUUUUUGUAUGUCAAGAAUGUGAUUAAGGCUGCUCAUUCCGGGAAUUCUCCGCUGGUGUUUUUGAAGCUUGACAUGGCCAAAGCUUUUGACUCAGUGUGUUGGAGCUACCUGCUGGAGGUAAUGGAGGCAAUGGGCUUUGGUCAGAGAUGGAGGGAUAUGAUAUCUAUAAUUUUUGCGUCUUCUUCCUCUAGAGUACUGCUGAAUGGAUCACAAGGUUCUCCAUUUGUGCAUAGACGAGGGCUGCGGCAGGGAGACUCCGUGUCGCCUCUGCUUUUUAUUCUUGCUAUGGAGCCCCUGCAACGGAUGCUUUCGAUGGCCACAGAGAGGGCGGUGCUUACACCAUUGAGAAUUAGGGUUGCUCGUUUGCGAUCCAGUUUCUACGCCGAUGACGCGGCUUUGUUCAUCAACCCGGUGGCCCAAGAUUUUGCUGCUGUUCAUGCCAUCCUAAAAGUCUUUGGGGACGCUUCUGGCCUGCGGGUCAACAUCGGCAAGACCGUGGCAUAUCCUAUCUCCUGCGCUGAAAUUAAUGUUGAGAAUAUAUUGAAUGAUUUUGGUGGGAUACUGGGAUCUUUCCCAUGUCAAUAUUUGGGACUGCCACUUGGUUUCGUAAACCGUGGAGGGCAGAGCUUCAACCGGUCCUUGACAAAUUUGCGGGGAAGCUUGCUCCUAGGAAGGGGAGGUUAUUAA
RNAcentral lists this ribosomal RNA (885 nucleotides) under Triticum aestivum (bread wheat). Its description in RNAcentral is "partial small subunit ribosomal RNA". The record is from RNAcentral. Lineage: Eukaryota; Viridiplantae; Streptophyta; Magnoliopsida; Poales; Poaceae.